This 313-nucleotide ribosomal RNA is filed under the name uncultured bacterium. Its description in RNAcentral is "bacterial SSU rRNA". It matches the Rfam family "Bacterial small subunit ribosomal RNA", at positions 28 to 334 of the family's 1533-position model. The record is from RNAcentral.
GAUGAACGCUAGCGGGAGGCCUAACACAUGCAAGCCGAGCGGGAUUUAUUACUUAGCUUGCUAAGUAAUGAUGAGAGCGGCGUACGGGUGCGGAACACGUGUGCAACCUGCCUUUAUCUGGAGAAUAGCCUUUCGAAAGGAAGAUUAAUGCUCCAUAACAUAUGAUUCGGCAUCGGAUUAUAUUGAAAGCUCCGGCGGAUAGAGAUGGGCACGCGCAAGAUUAGAUAGUUGGUAGGGUGACGGCCUACCAAGUCAGUGAUCUUUAGGGGCCUGAGAGGGCGAUCCCCCACACUGGUACUGAGACACGGACCAG